UCUCUUACCUGACAGGAGACUUACCAUGAUCAAUCAGGUGGUUCCCUCACUGUGAGGCUUUCCCAUUGCAUUCUGUGUGGGUUGACCCUUGCGAUUUCCCCAAAUCUGGGAAACUCGACCGUAUAAUUUGUGGGAGUGAUAUCUCACCUUUUAAUUUGGAUAUAU
This 165-nucleotide small nuclear RNA is filed under the name Eptatretus burgeri (inshore hagfish). RNAcentral describes it as "U1 spliceosomal RNA (ENSEBUG00000000278.1)". It matches the Rfam family "U1 spliceosomal RNA". Rfam says of the family: U1 is a small nuclear RNA (snRNA) component of the spliceosome (involved in pre-mRNA splicing). The record is from Rfam by way of RNAcentral. Lineage: Eukaryota; Metazoa; Chordata; Myxini; Myxiniformes; Myxinidae.